Small nuclear RNA from Cynocephalus volans (Philippine flying lemur), 107 nucleotides. The record is from RefSeq and is a predicted model, not a curated record. Lineage: Eukaryota; Metazoa; Chordata; Mammalia; Dermoptera; Cynocephalidae.
GUGCUCGCUUUGGCAGCACACGUACUAAAAUUGGAACAAUACACAGAAGAUUAGCAUGGCCCCUGCACAAGGAUGUCACGCAAAUUCUUGAAGUGUUCCAUAUAUUU